GAGGGUAUAGCUCAGUGGUAGAGCGUGUGCUUAGCAUGCACGAGGCUCUGAGUUCAAUUCCCAGUACGUCUA
This 72-nucleotide transfer RNA is filed under the name Camelus bactrianus (Bactrian camel). It matches the Rfam family "tRNA". From Rfam's summary of the family: Transfer RNA (tRNA) molecules are approximately 80 nucleotides in length. RNAcentral also lists the same sequence under 1 other name. The record is from Rfam by way of RNAcentral. Lineage: Eukaryota; Metazoa; Chordata; Mammalia; Artiodactyla; Camelidae.